Molecule: ribosomal RNA, 253 nt
Filed under: uncultured bacterium
Lineage: Bacteria
Description: partial 16S ribosomal RNA
Rfam family: Bacterial small subunit ribosomal RNA
Source: RNAcentral
UACAGAGGUCCCAAGCGUUGUUCGGAUUUACUGGGCGUAAAGGGUGCGUAGGUGGCUGGGAAAGUUUGAUGUGAAAGCUCAGGGCUUAACCCUGAAAUGGCAUUGAAUACUGCCUGGCUGGAGGUUUGGAGGGGGGACUGGAAUUCUUGGUGUAGCAGUGAAAUGCGUAGAUAUCAAGAGGAACACCAGUGGCGAAGGCGAGUCCCUGGACAACACCUGACACUGAGGCACGAAAGCCGGGGGAGCAAACAGG